RNAcentral lists this ribosomal RNA (460 nucleotides) under uncultured Prevotella sp. Its description in RNAcentral is "bacterial SSU rRNA". It matches the Rfam family "Bacterial small subunit ribosomal RNA", at positions 338 to 795 of the family's 1533-position model. Lineage: Bacteria; Pseudomonadati; Bacteroidota; Bacteroidia; Bacteroidales; Prevotellaceae. The record is from RNAcentral.
CCUACGGGUGGCAGCAGUGAGGAAUAUUGGUCAAUGGAUGGAAAUCUGAACCAGCCAAGUAGCGUGCAGGAUGACGGCCCUAUGGGUUGUAAACUGCUUUUAUGUGAGAAUAAAGUUAGGUAUGUAUACUUAUUUGCAUGUAUCACAUGAAUAAGGACCGGCUAAUUCCGUGCCAGCAGCCGCGGUAAUACGGAAGGUCCAGGCGUUAUCCGGAUUUAUUGGGUUUAAAGGGUGCGUAGGCCGUUUGAUAAGCGUGCUGUGAAAUAUAGUGGCUCAACCUCUAUCGUGCAGCGCGAACUGUCGAACUUGAGUGCGUAGUAGGUAGGCGGAAUUCGUGGUGUAGCGGUGAAAUGCUUAGAUAUCACGAAGAACUCCGAUUGCGAAGGCAGCUUACCGUAACGUUACUGACGCUUAAGCACGAAGGUGCGGGUAUCGAACAGGAUUAGAUACCCCAGUAGUC